This 2111-nucleotide long non-coding RNA is filed under the name Daphnia magna. Its description in RNAcentral is "uncharacterized LOC123474054, transcript variant X4". Lineage: Eukaryota; Metazoa; Arthropoda; Branchiopoda; Diplostraca; Daphniidae. The record is from RNAcentral.
CUUAGACGUUCUGAUGUUCGAAUUUUGAUAAGGUUGUAGAUCCUGCCAAUACGGAAGUUCAGCCAAUGUUGUAGCACGACAAGUUGAUGCCCUCGUUACGUCGUGCGGUUCGGGUUAGUUUCACCGAGAUGAGGAAAAGCUAAUAUAAAAGCUGUACAAAAAACGAAAGCAAAUCUCAGAGGAGCAGGCAAAAUGCAUGGACAUAAUUUAAGUUGCUUCUGUAAAAUCAACAAAACAAACAAAAAAUAUUAUAAAAAUUGAAUUUAAUUUUUAAAAACAACAACAAACAAACCAAAAAUGAAAAAAAAAUAAAUUUUCGUUUUUUUUCAGUUUUAAGAAAAAUAAACACUCAGGAAAUUAAUAUUAUCAUCUCUCUCUCUCUCUCUCUUUUUGUGCUUAAGUAGAAAGCAUGUAUGGCGAGCACUGCGAAAGUAACAUAAGAUAUUUUGCGUAAUCAAAUUAAGUUGGGCGUCCAUAGCCUAGUGGUUAUGGCGUCUGUUGAUCAUCAAUGACCCUAGAUGAGGCUUAGAGGGAUUGAAGCAAUGUGCAUGGAAACAUGGAACAUGGAACCUGAACUUGGGGCGCGAGUCUACGGUCGAUGAUCAACUUUUGCCAAAUUAACAACUUUUGAGAAUAAAAAUUAAUAAAACAAAACAAAAGGCAGUGCAUAAAAUUAAGCAACGUAACGUAACGUAAUAAUGUCAUUAAUAAUUAAACUAAUAACACGUUCUGGUAAAAGAUAGCAAAUGAUAUCUUUCCAGGUGAUCUGCUAUGUCAACGUUCAAAUCUUGACAGAUGCCAAAAAAUAUUUUCAGCUUAAAGUUUCGUUUUAAGUCCAUUUUUAGGUUUUUUAUGCACUUGGGAUUGUGUAGAUAUGCGUUUUAGAAUUUUCCUUGGUUGCAUACUGAAUUUAAUCGAGGGUUGCAACUUGAAAGUAACAUGCUAUUCUCCUUCUCCAACUCAAAUUUUUUACCUUAAGCUGCAGUGACUUCCGUAUGUGAGAUGCGUGAUGUUGACAACUUGUUAUUAUGGUGUGCCAUUGUACGAACGUUUAGUAGAUAUUGUAUUACUGAUAGUCCGAGUUCCGGCUUACUAUCAGAAGGUACUAGCGCGACACACAGAAAAGUGCGCCCUUUUUUGUUUACUUCUUUUUUUCGGCUUCGCGCUACUAGUACCUUCUCGUAGUAAGGGUCUCGGGUAAUUGAGGCCGAGCCCAACUGAGUACUGUUUGGAUAUUAAAAUUUUUCUUAGGUAUCUGUUAAAUUCAUUUCUGCCAUUGGAGCAGCUACAGGUAUUAAAACUAUUGAUCCGGCAGCCGAAUUUGGUGCUUUUUAUUUUUAAUUAGAAAAAUUCCUUAUAAAAAUCAGUCCCAAUAAAUUCCUCCAAUAAUCCAGCAUCAUUCUUGUGUUUUUUUUAACUAUUGCCUUCUUUAACUCCUUUGUUUGUCUUCGAAUGAGGUAAUAAUUCAGCAAACACAAGAAUGAUGCUGGAUAUGUUUGAUUUACAGUGACAACAUAACAUCGGUGGCAUUCCCUUCGGACACCGAGUGAUCCCAAGGCAUCAGGUACAUCCAGGAUAUCUGCAAGUACAAUUUAAAAAUUUAUUCUGUUAACCCCUAACGAUCAAUCCAGGACUUAGUUUUCUUGUCUAGUCGUCUAAGGCGGUCUAAGGGUCUAAACGUUACAAUCAGACAAAUGAGAAUACGAAUUCAUUACUUGGGAAACUGCUACGAAUUGUGAUUAUUCCCCUCGCGCUAUCGGGAGUGCGUGGAACAUCAUUCAGAGAACUACGCUAGUGCCUGAUGACAUCCAUAGGUGAUUUUCUAGAACCCUCUCAGCUAUUACUUUCCAAUAGAUUAAAGGUAGUAAUUGCAACCUUUGGCAGGGCUUGUACCAUUUUGUUCAAUUUAAACAAGGAAAGCUACUUUUAUUAAUUGAUUCAGCAGGGAACUCUGAGGCACUCUUAGUGUGUAUAUCUCACAUGUAACUGUACAUGUGGAAGUCAAGACACUCUUAGUGUAUAUCUCACAUGUAACUCUACAUGUGGAAAUCCUACAGUACAUAGUAAUAUUCCAGUAGAUAAAUGACUAGAACAUAUCUUACCUUCUUAAU